GGGGGAAUAUUGCACAAUGGGGGAAACCCUGAUGCAGCGACGCCGCGUGAGUGAAGAAGUAUUUCGGUAUGUAAAGCUCUAUCAGCAGGGAAGAAAAAAUGACGGUACCUGACUAGAAAGCCCCGGCUAAUUAC
RNAcentral lists this ribosomal RNA (134 nucleotides) under uncultured bacterium. RNAcentral's name for it is "partial 16S ribosomal RNA". It matches the Rfam family "Bacterial small subunit ribosomal RNA", at positions 355 to 504 of the family's 1533-position model. The record is from RNAcentral.